This is a long non-coding RNA of Anolis sagrei ordinatus, 1033 nucleotides long. RefSeq lists it as uncharacterized. Lineage: Eukaryota; Metazoa; Chordata; Lepidosauria; Squamata; Anolidae. The record is from RefSeq and is a predicted model, not a curated record.
UCCCUCUCUCUCUCUCUCUCUCUGUGCACCUGCUGGUGGGCUCUUUGCAGUUGGACCUCUUCACCCAGUUCCUACUUAAUGAUGAUGGUUUAGUGUGGAUCUCGAAAUACUUGGGAAUCUGCCUCUGCUUUGAAUUCCAACUUCCUGAACAUAGUGCAGGUAUGGGCAAACUUGGGCCCUCCUCCCUCCAGGUGUUUUGGACUUACUCCCAAGGCGCACCAGUCUUACUUUCUCAGGAAGGACUUAUGGCUCCUUGUCUCCACCAGAAUUUUAGAUUUUGUCCCCCUUUCACUGAAAAUGCAACAGAGGAAGAAAGGAUCCUACAGUUUCGAGAAGGAACUAUGAAUACAAAUGACAAGGGAUCUCCAUAUUCAUUUCAGAUUCACUGUUUUGUAUGGUAAUCUUUUUUCUUUAAUGAUAGAUAAUUUUAUGGAUUUCUGUUCAAAACUAGCACAAUUUAAUCAUCCAUUAGGAAAGGAGUAUCCCAAAAAACCCUCCACUAAUAUCAUAGGCUUUCCAGGAUUAAAAUUCAGGUGUAUAUACGUGUAUGAUUCCUUCUAAAAUACCAAAUUAUGCUACUGCCUUUGCCUGUACACUUCAUAUGGAUACGUAGAACUUCAAAUAACAAUAAACACUUAUUUUCAAGGGGACAAGUAAUGUAGGUACUGAGAAGUGAAUAAAUGCAUAAAAGAAACAAUGUAUAAGUGAAGCUGCAUAUAACAAUUCCACAAACAAGGGGGUCAUCUUAUUUUUACAAUUAACAUAUAUCUGCAAUACUGAUAAGGUUUCAGUCUCAAGAGCAUAUCUCUGGGCUUGGGAAACUGCAGCCUAUUUAUGUGUGCUACUGCCAGUAGUAGUGGGUGACUCCCAUGUGAAGGAGUCAGUGACUCUGUUCCAGAUUUUAGUCUGAACUCCAUUGAAGUUUGAAUUUAAAUUCAGAGUCAGUUCAUUAUGUGGCUGACAUUCAACCAACUAGAGCUAGUGUGAUGAAAUGUAAGGCUGAGCAAUGUGAGGCAGAGGUAAAUUUCAAAAA